RNAcentral lists this transfer RNA (87 nucleotides) under Clostridia bacterium. RNAcentral describes it as "tRNA-Cys". It matches the Rfam family "tRNA". From Rfam's summary of the family: Transfer RNA (tRNA) molecules are approximately 80 nucleotides in length. Their secondary structure includes four short double-helical elements and three loops (D, anti-codon, and T loops). Further hydrogen bonds mediate the characteristic L-shaped molecular structure. tRNAs have two regions of fundamental functional importance: the anti-codon, which is responsible for specific mRNA codon recognition, and the 3' end, to which the tRNAs corresponding amino acid is attached (by aminoacyl-tRNA synthetases). tRNAs cope with the degeneracy of the genetic code in two manners: having more than one tRNA (with a specific anti-codon) for a particular amino acid; and 'wobble' base-pairing, i.e. permitting non-standard base-pairing at the 3rd anti-codon position. RNAcentral also lists the same sequence under 1 other name. Lineage: Bacteria; Bacillati; Bacillota; Clostridia. The record is from RNAcentral.
GGUAGAUUGACAGAGUGGACGAAUGUGACGGUCUGCAAAACCGUAUGAGUUAAAUCUCACGCGCUGGUCCGAAUCCAGCAUCUACCU